AAAAUUCAUAUCUCUUUCAUUUUUAAUCCAAAAAUUAUGGGACCAAUUGCAUUAGUCUCCAAAUAAUUUCUAGUUUCUACUUCUAAUUUUUAAUAUUUUUUAUUUUGUCAUUUAAUAUUUUUUUGUGAAUUUUCUCUUUUCUGGUUAUUUUUAAUUCAUUUUAAUUAGUUUUUGAUAUUCAAAAAAUACAAAAAUAUUUUCCUA
This 204-nucleotide long non-coding RNA is filed under the name Lathyrus oleraceus (garden pea). Its description in RNAcentral is "Pisum sativum (pea) long non-coding RNA (PSAT_LNC000619)". Lineage: Eukaryota; Viridiplantae; Streptophyta; Magnoliopsida; Fabales; Fabaceae. The record is from RNAcentral.